CCUACGGGAGGCAGCAGUAAGGAAUAUCCGGUCAAUGGACGCAAGUCUGAACCAGCCAUGCCGCGUGGAGGAUGAAGGUCUCUGGAUUGUAAACUUCUUUUCUCUGGGACGAAACCCCCGAUUUCCAUCGGGCCUGACGGUACCAGAGGAAUAAGCACCGGCUAACUCCGUGCCAGCAGCCGCGGUAAUACGGAGGGUGCAAGCGUUAUCCGGAUUCACUGGGUUUAAAGGGUGCGUAGGCGGGUUUGUAAGUCAGUGGUGAAAUCCCCGAGCUUAACUUGGGAACUGCCAUUGAUACUGCAAGUCUUGAAUUUUCUGGAGGUAAGCGGAAUAUGUCAUGUAGCGGUGAAAUGCUUAGAUAUGACAUAGAACACCCGUUGCGAAGGCAGCUUACUACGGGAAUAUUGACGCUGAGGCACGAAAGCGUGGGGAUCAAACAGGAUUAGACACCCUGGUAGUCCACGCCCUAAACGAUGAUUACUCGACAUUAGCGAUAUUACGGUUAGUGCCUAAGCGAAAGCAUUAAGUAAUCCACCUGGGAAGUACGACCGCAAGGUUGAAACUCAAAUGAAUUGACGG
RNAcentral lists this ribosomal RNA (579 nucleotides) under uncultured bacterium. RNAcentral describes it as "bacterial SSU rRNA". It matches the Rfam family "Bacterial small subunit ribosomal RNA", at positions 338 to 916 of the family's 1533-position model. The record is from RNAcentral.